GGCACAACUUGCACAACCGCAUUGAGGGAAACACUGAAAGGGCAUGUUGGUUUAUCCCGACGGCGUUAGGACCUUCCAGAAGCGUCGAGCUGUAUCUGUGGAUUGGGAUGCAUCCUGCUCGCUGUUUCGCUACAAUGUCAGGAGCACGCAUGAUUUUUCUCAUCGCUUCCUGUAUAAUGUUUUUCCAUUCUGGAAAUGCUCAACUGGGAGAGUCUAGAUUUCAUGAUAGACCUUAUGAAGUCCUGCUGAGGCAAAAUCUGGUUCUUCUAAUAAGUGUUCUGUGCACACUGCUGGUGGUCAUGAUUGGAAUGGCAGUGUGUGUCUACAAACCCCUUCGACGCAGGUGACAAGCCCCUCAAGAUGAAAGACGCCGGGAACUGAAUACUACUAUGGAGAAGGCUUGGUUUUGAAUAUUAAUGAGCCGAGCCUAGCCAUUGGAUGAGAACAACGCAACGUCAGGAUCCAACCCUUCGCUAUUGGAAGGUUGCGAAGCAACGUCAGCAUGAGCUAAUUAAUAUUGAUGAACCCAUUGGCGUCUUCCCUGCGACGCUUUAAUUAAAUCGAGUCCUAAACUCCGAUUAAACGUCAUUGUCAUCAAGUUCAGAUCUCUCUAAAAAUUACAUUUACGUGUUUAAAACUGAACACUAUCUUAAACAAAUGCAUACUAAAUUUUGACGUUCUUUUUAGUUUACAAGCUGCUAAAAUGUUUACAGUCUGAAUUUAAACGUAUUUAUUUAGAAAAAUAUUAUUUUCAUGUAUUUAUUGCAAGAUGUUUAUUUUACUGUUUUUUUUUAUGUCAGACCUCUUGAAUAAAUUAAAGUCAAUGCAUGAAUUAGUAUGAAUGUGCUUGUGUUCAAAAUAAAUAACUAAAUGCAA
Long non-coding RNA from Carassius gibelio (silver crucian carp), 876 nucleotides. RefSeq lists it as uncharacterized. The record is from RefSeq and is a predicted model, not a curated record. NCBI's taxonomy places the organism in Eukaryota, Metazoa, Chordata, Actinopteri, Cypriniformes, Cyprinidae. The transcript has 2 exons.